This 446-nucleotide ribosomal RNA is filed under the name uncultured bacterium. Its description in RNAcentral is "bacterial SSU rRNA". It matches the Rfam family "Bacterial small subunit ribosomal RNA", at positions 329 to 792 of the family's 1533-position model. The record is from RNAcentral.
CUCCAGACUCCUACGGGAGGCAGCAGUGGGGAAUAUUGCACAAUGGGGGAAACCCUGAUGCAGCGACGCCGCGUGAGCGAUGAAGUAUUUCGGUAUGUAAAGCUCUAUCAGCAGGGAAGAAGAUGACGGUACCUGACUAAGAAGCCCCGGCUAACUACGUGCCAGCAGCCGCGGUAAUACGUAGGGGGCAAGCGUUAUCCGGAUUUACUGGGUGUAAAGGGAGCGUAGACGGCGAUGCAAGCCAGAUGUGAAAGCCCGGGGCUCAACCCCGGGACUGCAUUUGGAACUGUGUGGCUGGAGUGUCGGAGAGGCAGGCGGAAUUCCUAGUGUAGCGGUGAAAUGCGUAGAUAUUAGGAGGAACACCAGUGGCGAAGGCGGCCUGCUGGACGAUGACUGACGUUGAGGCUCGAAAGCGUGGGGAGCAAACAGGAUUAGAUACCCGCGUA